UUCCAGACUCCUACGGGAGGCAGCAGUGGGGAAUAUUGCACAAUGGGGGGAACCCUGAUGCAGCGACGCCGCGUGGGUGAAGGAGUGCUUCGGCAUGUAAAGCCCUAUCGGCAGGGAAGAAGCAAGACGGUACCUGACUAAGAAGCCCCGGCUAACUACGUGCCAGCAGCCGCGGGAAUACGUAGGGGGCGAGCGUUAUCCGGAUUUACUGGGUGUAAAGGGAGCGUAGACGGCGGCGCAAGUCCGGAGUGAAAGCCCACGGCCCAACCGUGGGACUGCCCUGGAAACUGUGCGGCUUGAGUGCGGGAGGGGCAGGCGGAAUUCCUAGUGUAGCGGUGAAAUGCGUAGAUAUUAGGAGGAACACCGGUGGCGAAGGCGGCCUGCUGGACCGUAACUGACGUUGAGGCUCGAAAGCGUGGGGAGCAAACAGGAUUAGAUACCCCGGUA
RNAcentral lists this ribosomal RNA (447 nucleotides) under uncultured bacterium. Its description in RNAcentral is "partial 16S ribosomal RNA". It matches the Rfam family "Bacterial small subunit ribosomal RNA", at positions 329 to 792 of the family's 1533-position model. The record is from RNAcentral.